UUUAAUAAAUUUAGAAAAAAAUAAAAAAUAUAAAUGUAAAUGGUUUCUUUGUCUCCCUCGCUUCCUCAUUGAACCCUAGCCGUAUUCGUCUUCCUCUUCCUGGAGCGCCUCCAUCAUUCCAGCCAUUUUCUACUCAGUACCCACUUCAUCUACUCCGCCCCUUUCGUGUACGACAACAAUCUCAUCACCAUCCCUUUCAUUUUCUGGAUUUGAUCCCUUUCUUGUUCUUGCCUCCAUCAUUGAGUGGAUGCCUCACAAUCACAAUAAACUCAUAUCUUCUCUCCGUCUUCACCGGAACUAAAAUCGAUAUCAUUAAAGCUUGAUUCGUCACUGUUCAAGAACAAAAAUUGAUAUCACUUAAGCUUGAUUCACCAAUUUUCAAGGUAUUCUCCUUUCAUUUUUCUUUUUAACUAACCCUUAAAAUCUCUUAAUUUCGUUUUUAUGACUCAACUUGUAUCCAUGAACUUGUAGUUCAACUUGGAGAGGAAGUAAUUGCUCUGUCUUGCAUUCUCUCGAGGUUUCUUGAAUUUUCUUGUCAGCAGUACUUAUUUUAUUUCCUAGAUAGACAAAAGACUCAAUUGUUACAGAAAUGGGUUUAGGACAGACGGACUAUUGACUAUUGUAUUAUCGAGUGUUGGUUAACUAAUUUUUAAUUUGAAAUUUUACUGAGUUAUUAGUUGAUAACUGGAUUUGGGACUUUUAUCCUAUUUUAAAGGUUACUCAUGCUUAAGUUUGCGAUAUGAUUAUUGUUUAUAAUUGGGGUAAAUGUUCUUUGACAUGUUUGUUUUGUGGUAUUCCCAGUUUUGUUCAGGAUGGAGAAAAGACUUGUCCUCUAUGUGAAUGGAUUUGAGAGAUAAGAAAUUGAAAUCUUGUAGAUGUGGUUAUGAGUUUUGAUUCUAUCUGUGUGGAGUUAUGAGGUUUGUGAUUUUAAAUUUCAUUUGUCAAUUAUUUGGUUCACAAAAUUUUCUUCUAUUGAAUUCGGAUCCUCUUAACCCUUGUUAAGGUUUAUUUUGUGCAGGGAGAAUUUAUUUUCUCUUAACUUUAAAUAAGGUAGAAAUGGUGGUUAAAAUUAAGUUUUAAUUCUUCAUCAUUUGAACACCUUAAGAAUUGUUUAAUUUUAAAAUUUGCUUAUUUCCUUUUAAGUAGUAAGUGCGUAUUGUUGGAUCUUAGUACUGCUCCUUGCAACCGUCUACUAAUGACGGGCAGCAGAGCCAUGUAAGAAAAUUUAAAAGAAUCUUUAUCUAGGUGAGGAAUAGGUUCAUUUCAAAUGGCCAUGUCUUGAAUUUCCUUGCUCCCUGCACAUAACUCAGUGGCUAUAAUUGUAUCAUCUCAAAUAGUAAUUUUUGGUUGCAACCAAACUGAAUAGAGAUUUGAUCAUAUUUAAUUAAUGAUUUUGGUUGAAUUCUCACAUGAUAAAUUUUGAACUUUAAUUCCGGCAUUGAGGUGGUACAUGGAGAAAUUACUCAUUCUGUUAUGUUGUCAAUGUGACAUUUGAAUCAACUGUGAAUGGUGCAUCUAUCAGUAACCAUACAAAUACUAGUGGCUUAUCAAUGAUUUCCAAAUAUUACAACACACAUAACUAAUAAUAAAAUGGAAGCAAAAGAUAAUUUAUAAUUGUGUUAUUUAUUGAAAUAAAUUUGAUAGUUUCCAAUUUCAAUAUAAUUGUUUUUGUAGUUACAGGUUAUGAAUAAAGACUUCGAAUUACUGAAGGCAUCUGUACUUAGUUUAAAAAACCGGAGAUGAACAAGGCUCUCACUAUCAGAACCAAGAACUUCAUGACAAACAAGCUCCUCAAGAAAUUUUUUUUGGGCUAUAUUGUAGUCUUGUAGCUUUCUAGUUGUCUUUUGUAAAAGUUUUAUAUGUAGAAAUUAGCUUAUCAUUUUAUAGGGUAAAAAGAAUUAAUGUUUUAUUUAAUACUAGAGAUUCUAUUACAUUUAUAUUAUUAAUUAAUGUUUUAGAAUGAUAUAUUUGUACAUAAUAAAAAGUAAAUUGCACUUCA
Molecule: long non-coding RNA, 1999 nt
Organism: Vicia villosa (hairy vetch)
Lineage: Eukaryota; Viridiplantae; Streptophyta; Magnoliopsida; Fabales; Fabaceae
Exons: 2
Source: RefSeq, a predicted model, not a curated record